RNAcentral lists this long non-coding RNA (1035 nucleotides) under Cricetulus griseus (Chinese hamster). RNAcentral describes it as "lncRNA (ENSCGRG00015035452.1)". The record is from RNAcentral. Lineage: Eukaryota; Metazoa; Chordata; Mammalia; Rodentia; Cricetidae.
CCACAGUCACGGCUCGAAUACAGAAUAUUCCUCAGCAAGGCUCCAGUGUUGAAGGUUGCUUGGACCCAGCCACUGAGAGCCACGGGAUCCUGAGGGCUUUGAGUAAUCUGAGGAUUGAUCCGUUGGCCAGGUUGUCAUUUAAUUACAUGGUCAUGUGGAGGGAUGGGGAGAUAAGGCCUGGCUGGAAGCAGGUCACAGGUGGAGCAGCGAAGCCUCUUGACAGGCAGGUCUUCACCCCUCUGCCUACUUCCUGGAAUUCUUCCCCCUCAGUGUCAUCACACCGGGCCUUCCCACCCCAGGCUCAUAGCAAAGGAGACAGCUCAUUAUGGACUGCAACCUUGGAAACACAUCUUUAAACUCUUCCAGGAACACAGUUAAAUUUAAAAGACUGACAUACCAAGAGGGACAGGAACCUUCCUAAUGAACUGCAGAAUGACACUCAGACCACCCCAUGAGAUGAAAAGGACUCUCAGCCUGCCUCCCAGGGAAUUCAGGCAUGCUUUUCACGAAUCUGCUGUCUUCCCCAGGUUAAAAAGUUCUAACACCCCAGUGGUCAUACUGAGGUUGCUCCCCCAGCUGCAGCCCGAGGAAAAGGAAGAUGACGUCAACUGCCAAUCGUUGCAUUGCCUAUUGAACUUGGUAGAGAUCUGGAGGAGAGCAGGGAUUGAAGCCAGGGGCACUCGGUGUGACUUUCCUGGCAGUCUGGACUAUGGUUUGGGCAGGUGCCUCUGGAGCUUAGCUGUGGAUACGCCGAUGCCUCGCUCCAAUCCUGACUAACACACACUCCUGCUCCCAACUCCAGCCAAGGCCCCCAGAGAACAGAGCUAUGAAAUGCCCUAGAUGUGGAAGACCCUGCCUCGCCACUGCUGUGACCCCUAGACAAGUGUCUGACCUCUCUGAGUUCCAAUUUUUCCCUCUGCCGUUCUGUAGUAUAAAUAGGAAAGUGUGUGGGAAAGACCUCUGAGAACAGUGACGUGGACUUCUAAGCUGCGUCUCCACAAACCAAAGGGAAUUUGUUAAGCAUUAAAGACAUUU